RNAcentral lists this small RNA (550 nucleotides) under Pithoascus exsertus. RNAcentral's name for it is "eukaryotic LSU rRNA". It matches the Rfam family "Eukaryotic large subunit ribosomal RNA", at positions 50 to 606 of the family's 3401-position model. Lineage: Eukaryota; Fungi; Ascomycota; Sordariomycetes; Microascales; Microascaceae. The record is from RNAcentral.
GCGGAGGAAAAGAAACCAACAGGGAUUGCCCCAGUAACGGCGAGUGAAGCGGCAACAGCUCAAAUUUGAAAUCUGGUCCCCUCUGGGGGCCCGAGUUGUAAUUUGAAGAGGAUGCUUCUGGCGAGGCGCCGGCCGAGUUCCCUGGAACGGGACGCCGUAGAGGGUGAGAGCCCCGUACGGCCGGAUGCCGAGCCUCUGUGAAGCUCCUUCGACGAGUCGAGUAGUUUGGGAAUGCUGCUCAAAAUGGGAGGUAAACCCCUUCUAAAGCUAAAUACUGGCCAGAGACCGAUAGCGCACAAGUAGAGUGAUCGAAAGAUGAAAAGCACUUUGAAAAGAGAGUUAAACAGCACGUGAAAUUGUUGAAAGGGAAGCGCUUGCGACCAGACUUGCGCCCGUCGGAUCAGCCGUCCCUCGUGGGCGGCGCACUCCGGCGGGCUCAGGCCAGCAUCGGUUCGCCUGGCGGGAGAAAGGCGGCGGGAAUGUGGCUCUGCGGAGUGUUAUAGCCCGCCGCGUAAUACCACCGGGCGGACCGAGGACCGCGCGUAUGCAA